UUGUUUUUAUCGCUUUGAAUAUUAAUUACAAGAAUAAAAAAUUAAUCACAAGAGAAGUGUAGAACUCCACAUAAAUCUUUGAAAGUCCAAAUCUUUAUCAAAUUAUAUAAAAAUUCAGACAAUGAAAUAAUAAUUUUACAGAAGUGCUAAAUAUGGCGCUGCAUAACGAUGUAUAUGUAAGUUUCAUUCAUAAUAAGCUUUUAUAUUAUUCUUUCUUAAAUAAUUGCCAAUAAUCUGGCAUAUGGAUCGAAACGACAACCAUCCAGUCGCAGAGUGUAAUGUAUCUGGUGGUUGCGAAAUUGCAAGUCGGCACUGCCGUGUCGUUUCGACUCGUCUCAGCUUACGUAAUUCUCGCGAGACCGCGUAAAAGCGCGGGGUGCGGUAGCGAGCACGGGUUCGACACACCCCCUUCGCAGCCGAUCGAUCGCAAAAUGUCUCAGAAUUUCAUCGGGCUUCGGAAUCCUGGUGACUUGUAAUCAUUCGUCAGCUAAUCGGAAUCUUGUCUAGAAAACACGAUUUCUAAACUUAUUUUCGCAGAUAUCAAGAGAGAAGGAGCGAAAUCUCGAGUUAUUUAAUGUUAUAAUUAUGCAAACAAGAUUCAACAUUAUGUAACAAGAAAUACAUUUUUGAUGAUUGUUGAAUAUAAAGGUCUGUAUUAAAAUUAAAUUAAAAAAUCAAUAAUUGUAUCUUUUCAUUUUUCGAGUAAGGACAUAAUUCCCGUGUGAAUUACAAGAGACAAACAACUGCGAAAUUAUAAAAUGACGAGCGCUCAAAAUCGGAUGACUGGAAUCCACUGAUUCAGGACAUCGGAAGGCAACAAAUCUGUCAGCGCUUUACAUAUGCAGACGAAUUCAAAUUCGCAUGCGAAAACUUGGCGUAAUCUCUCACCGAAUUAUUUCCCAAAAGCAAUCGCGUUAUCCCAAAGUAUUUGCGAACAAUGAUCUUAUACAACGGGGGGAGGGGAGGAGAAGGAGACCUUCCCUAGAACGCAAUUAAAAAAGCGCGAACGCGCGAAAAGUGAAACGCCGAAAGUUCGUGCACCGGAAAUCUGAUCUCGCCGAAGGUCAUUCCUAUCUGGGGAGUCAUGUUCGUUUUCGGUACCGAUGUAUAAGGAAGCCAUAAAACAGUGUUAUAUCGACACGUUUUAAUCAGCAACUCGUUGCUAUGAGAAUCUUGUGGCGAAGAAUAGGAAGGAGCGAAAUCGAAAUUAUCAAAGGCAAAUAAAAAGAUUCUUCAGCAAAUAAUAUCUCACGGACAAGCUGUUUAAUGCUGCAAAUAUAAAUUAUGCAGCAGAUUGGCUAACGUAAGACAUAAAUAUCGCUAUCAAAUAAAUGAUCUUAUCAUUGAUAUUACAUUGUGCAAUGGUACAUGUUCUCAAAUUAACUUCAUAUAUACUCGCAGGCGGAUAGUAGAAGGUAUAUACUUGCAGAUGGAUAGUAAGAGAUAUGAUCUAAAAAGAAACUAUUUCACUUAAAAUUAAUUAACCGAAGAUGAUGGAUACGAAUUAACUUUAUCGUCUGAUCGAAAUUACACACUUCAAUAUUUCCUACUGAUGUACGAAUAAAGAAUGUUGUUUAGCACAUCAUUACUGCUGAUGUCUGCUAGAAAUCGUUGUCGUAGGAGCGACGUGGAUGGCACGACGGUACAGCUCCGACCGUUCAAUGUGUCAUCGCAGAUAACGAACAAACCGUAACGAGGAAUGUUAUCGGACGAAAAAUGUAUAUACUUUCACGGCGACAGCGCGCGCGACGUCGUUCGUACAAGCACAUUCGUUCAUUCAUUCAAUGUCCGCUUGUUCAAUAAAACGAUCUAGUAGAUCCUCGCGGAUGUUCCUCGUGAAUUGUCAGAGUAACUAUUAUUGCGAGCGAGAUAACGACAAUGAACGAGAGGGAAGUGAUUAAAUAACAAAAUCUUAUUUAAAUAUAAGUAAAUCUCCCUUCCUCCUUCGUCGUUUUAAGUCGACGGUCGAGUAAUAGUAAAAAUAUUUCAAGUCGCACGUUGAAAACUAACAAUGAAUGCUGUACGAUAAACUUGUUUAAAGUUAUAUGAAAAAAGAAAUCGAAAUGGAAACAUCUUUUGUUGAAGUAAAAUUCAAAAUUUUGAAAAAAUCAUAUAGAAGAUUGUCUGUUUAACCGAAACUAAAUAAAAAUUUUACUCUUGGAGAAAAGAAGUUAAUAAAUUUAUAAUUAACGUAAUAUACAUACAGCACAUAAAUUUUCUGCGAAUGACUCUCUUUUAUUUAUAAUAAUGUGACAUUUACAAAAUUUCGCGAAAACACGCUCCUUGAAAAUUAUUGAAUCAUCCGUAAGAAUAGAGAGGAGAUGGAGAGAGGAACAUGGAAAUGCACGAGUAACACGCGAGGACUAUACAUCGCGUCGUAAACACAUAAUUCACAGUUUUUCAAUCGCAAAUCAUCGUCGGUCCUCAAGCGAAACAGCGACACAGUGACACGAUCGAUGAUUAAACUCCGAGAAUUAUUUUCGGGAAUUGCGUCAGCGAGUUGCACGGACGUCAGCGGUGAACCAGAAAUCGAGUGUUCCGAUCGCACGGCAAAAUUGUGACGAUCGGGACUACAUCGAUUGUCAUGGAGUACCGUCGAGGCACGAGAGAGAGAGGAAGUAGCUACUUGAAGGAACGAGUGUAUCAGGUAUAGCUUUCUUCCUCUUUAUCUCACUAUCCAACUUUGUAACGUUCCGAUUCCGCCAUGCCUAUAUGAACGUCGACGACGUCGUUGUCACCCGAAAGUCGACGUCGUUGAUAUAGCAUUGAUGUAUAGCAUCGUCUCUCGUCGACGAACUGGAGGACGAGAUAUUGCGAGACGACUGAAAGAGCGACGGAAGAGAGAAGUUCAUCGAUGAGACCGUGACAUUUGUUCGGUCAAAAAAUCGAUACGUUAACUUAUCCGGAAACCGCAAUUGCAGCUUGCGCAAAUAACCGAAUUAUCUUCUAUUGUACAGAUUGUAAUUAUACAAUUCUAAGUAUAAUAAUUAUAGAUAAUAAUUAAACAAUAUUACAUCAGAUUAUGAUAAUUAUAAAAAAUUAUCGUGAUUUAAAUAAAGUAUCACAAAACACGUUUUUCUCAUUUA
Molecule: long non-coding RNA, 3086 nt
Organism: Wasmannia auropunctata (little fire ant)
Lineage: Eukaryota; Metazoa; Arthropoda; Insecta; Hymenoptera; Formicidae
Exons: 3
Source: RefSeq, a predicted model, not a curated record